This 1188-nucleotide long non-coding RNA is filed under the name Ananas comosus (pineapple). RNAcentral's name for it is "long non-coding RNA (ACOM_LNC018122)". The record is from RNAcentral. Lineage: Eukaryota; Viridiplantae; Streptophyta; Magnoliopsida; Poales; Bromeliaceae.
AAAAUCCAUAUUAGAAAAAAAGAUAAUUGCCUCUAUACAUCUUAAAAUUUCUAAAAUAUUUUAUUUAUUCUUCUUUUUUUUUUAUUUCAAAUAUGUCCCUUAUAUAUCUUUUUCAUCAUUUAAAAAUACUUUUGCUGUUAAGUCAUUUCGGAUUAAAUUUGAGUUAAAUUUCAACCAUAGUUAAAAUGUAGUAAAAUGCAUAUUUUGCCUUUAGCUUCAUGACAAAUAAGAAAAGUUGGUGACGGAACAAAAAUAUAUUUGAAAAUACAAGAAGUCAAAAUAUUUUUUUUGUCCCGACUUUAAGGGCAUGUUUGGUUCGCUUCUUUUUCGCCCUGAAAUCGGAAUCGAAACGGGCGAAUCCGUUUGUGGGUGUUUGGUACGCGGGAGUUUCAUUUCGAUUCUGAUUCCCAAGUAGAGUGGGAAUCCUCCAAUCACCUCUUUGAAUCUAGAUGGAAUGAAUAUUUAUUCGGAUUAAAUUUAUUUUUUCAACUUUUUUUAAUUAAAAUAUGAGUUUAAGUUUAGAAAUUAAAUUUAUAAUUUUAAAUUUUUAAUUUGAACUUGAAUUAAAAAUUAAAAUUUAAUCAAGUAUAUUUUCGAAUCUAACUUAUGAAUUUAAAUUUAAAUUAAAUUCUAAUUUAUAUAAAGUUUUAUUCAAAUUUUUUUUAAAACUUAAAUUAAAUUUAUUAAUUCAAAUUAAUAUUUAAUUUUAAUUUUAAGUUUGAAUUUGAAUAAAUUGAAAUUUAGUAUUAUAUUUUGAAUUAUUCACUCAACUUCAAAGUUUAAUUUUUUUUUAAAAAAAAUAGAUUUAAAAUUUUGACAUAAAUUUUUAAUAUUUAAUUCUCAAUUUGAAUUUAAGUUAAUAUAUUAUAAACAUAAAGUUAGUAUAUUAAUCUGAUUACGUUUUUUUAUUUCUAUCUAAACCAAACACCGACAAUAGAAAUGAUUUAUUUCGAUUUUGAUUCCAGUGAUGAACCAAACAGAACUAAGUAAUGAGUCAUUCUGAUUCUGAUUCCAGGUUAUUUCGAUUCCGAUUCCGAUUCUGAUUUCGAUUUCAACUUUGAACCAAAUACGCCCUAAAGGUAAAUAAGAUAAACUGAUGACGGCAAAAUAAUAUAUUUGAAAGGACAAAAGAAUAAUUUUACAAAAAUAACAAACCAUUCCCAACCAUUCACUAUAAGGGUGCGUUUG